Vollenhovia emeryi is the source of this 4333-nucleotide RNA transcript. It is a transcript of the gene named sterile alpha and TIR motif-containing protein 1, with no coding region annotated. The transcript has 11 exons. Lineage: Eukaryota; Metazoa; Arthropoda; Insecta; Hymenoptera; Formicidae. The record is from RefSeq and is a predicted model, not a curated record.
GACCUGGAGGUACCCACGACGGCCUUGCGCUACUCCGUUCCCUCGCUCCAGGCUUUCCCUCGAGCGCCUCGCGGGAAAGAAGCUCUCUCAGCGCGGCCAACGCGAAGACGAGUACGAGGAUUCCGAAACGCGGAGCCGCCGGCUCUCACCGAUUCUUCGGGUGAAGAGGUCCUCUCGCGGAAGAGAGCUCUCUUCAAUGUGCUCCAUUCGAUGUUGCGCUGGAAAUGAAAACGGCAGUUUGACAGGCGUUGCCUAAGCAAACUUGCGGCGGGAUCUCCGAGCAGUGAGAGAACGAUUCAAGAGGAGAUCCAUUCGGGCGCGGUGAACCUGGACGUGAAUAUAAAUUCUCCAGAACGAAGAGCGAUCGACCCCUCGAGCUUCUAUUGUCGUCGAGUUUGAGAAGCUGGACGUGUCCCGAUCGUCCCCGGGAAUCUUCGCGAUCCUCGAGAGGGAAGUUUUAGCGGAGUCGAGAGGAUCUUGCGCCAUCGAUAACGAGAAUCGUUCGCGACGCGACAGCCCGGGCUACCACCUUCAGGCUCUCUCGCCGGUGCCGAAAAUUAUCUGCCGAUGAUUUCCCGAGUGGUACGUAACUGGACGGAAAUUCUGAGAUGGUCACAGCACUUCGAGACGGAGCGUGCGGAUAAGGACAUUUGAUAGAGACGAGCGCGAACGUGUUGUCCUCUACGCCAAGUGGUCACGUCGGUGCUACCACGAGGGAGGACGAGCGAGCGGAUAAAAGAAGACUUCGGACCUGGCAGCCGACGUGUCGCGAGAGGGAAAUCCAUCUGGCAGCUAGCAUGACAAUGGUCGUCAACAAGAUCAACAUGUCAUCGUAUUCCGUGCCGCGGCGCACCUUCUUCUCGGGUCUUCACACGAAGAUGUCGGAGUUCCCGGUGGAGGGAGGCGAAAACGGGGACAUGCAGACCGUCAUGGAGAACUUCCAGAAGAAGAAUAAUCACUUGGUGACCGGCAGAACGCACCACGUCAGCCAUCAUCCGCAGGUCACCACCACGUCGUCGCAGAUGCUGACGACAAAUCAGAGCCAACACCAGAGUAGUAGCAGCACCAGUACUAGCACGAGCAGCAGCAGCAGCAGCAGCAGCAGCAGCAGGGUGGCCAAGUCCUCGCAGAGGAUUCUCACCUCGUCUUCGUCGAGUGAGAUGAAGGCGAGCUCCAUGAAGAGCGACCUGACGGAGCUCAAGCGCGGCAUCUCGGAGAUGAAGAACAUCUCGACCAACUUUUCACAACGGCUGCGCAGCAGCAUGGAGAACCUCGUGGACAGAGAUGGCAGUGGAUCAGAGGAGACCGAUCUUACGGAGCCGCUGGUGACUUUUCCGGAUCCGGACACGCCGCCACCUGUCAGCGAUGCUGUCACGCUGGCGGGCGGCUCUCCGUCCCAGUUGAGUUCCCUGAAUUCGCUGAACAAUCUUCAUCACAGCAUAAGUCCGCCGAUAAACAUACCGAACAUGGCGAACUUACCUGCCGGUCAGGAAACUAUGAAGUUCGAGCAGAAGAAAAUGACCAGCGCCUCAAAAACAAAGGUCGUCACGGACGGAUUCAGCGCCGAGAAGGCGACGGCGAACAGUGCGGAGAUGAGGGCCCUGCAAGCCGGCGACGUCUCGUACAAGGAGCAGAGCGCCGCGACGGCGGCGAGGGCGCGCGUCGAGCUGGACGGCGUCUCGGCGGAGAAGAGCGUCGCUGCUGCAAGGGAGCAGAGAAGCUUGAAGGCUGGUGAUCUCUCGCAUCAGGAGAGCAACAACAUGGCAGCAUCCACUAUGAAGCUUCAGAGCGACUCUUUUACCUCCGAGAAGAAAGCGAUGGCAGCGCAACAGCAACGACAGACAGUCACCUCGACCGGCAUCUUCAACCACGAGAAGCACAUGGCCUCGAGCUCGCAGUCGAGCAUCACGAUCGCGUCCAAGUCGGGCGUGAGCUCAUCCAAAUCGAUGAUUAGCGCGGCAAGCGCGGUUAAUCAGCUGAUGAACGGCAUGCGACCGCCGACGGCCGAGGACGAGCUGUUAUCCUUACCGUUGGACGACCUGGACCUGCUGUGCUCCAAGUCGAAUCCGCAGGACGUGGACUGCGCGAUCGCCAAGUACUGCAGUCUGCUCGACAGCUUCGUGGAGCGGCUGAAGGCAAGCGCCGACAGCGGCAAGAGUAGCAGCAGCGGCAGUAAAGCGCCGCAGCUGUUGAACAGAGUGAACGAGAUCAUCCGAAAGGCAUGGGCGGUGCCGACGCACGGCCACGAGCUGGGUUACACCCUGUGCAACACCCUGAGGACGCGUGGCGGUCUCGAUCUGCUCAUGUCGAACUGCGUCGUGAACGAUCACGAGCUACAGUUCUCGUCGGCCAGACUACUGGAGCAAUGCCUGACGACGGAGAACCGCGCCCACGUGGUGGAGAACGGCCUGGAGAAGGUGGUGAACGUGGCGUGCGUGUGCACGAAGAACGCCAACUCGGUGGAUCACGCGCGCGUCGGCACCGGGAUACUCGAGCAUCUGUUCAAGCACAGCGAGGGCACCUGCAGCGACGUCAUCAGGCUGGGCGGACUGGACGCGGUGCUGUUUGAGUGCCGGAAGAACGACGUGGAAACUCUACGCCACUGCGCGGGCGCGCUGGCGAACUUGUCGCUGUACGGCGGCGCCGAGAACCAGGAGGCGAUGAUCAAGCGCAAGGUGCCGAUGUGGCUGUUCCCGCUUGCCUUCCACAAUGACGAUAACAUCAAGUAUUACGCCUGCCUGGCGAUUGCCGUGCUGGUCGCCAACAAGGAGAUCGAGGCGGCCGUCCUCAAGUCCGGCACCCUCGACCUAGUCGAGCCCUUCAUUACGUCACACAACCCCUACGAGUUCGCCAAGUCGAACUUGGCGCACGCUCAUGGUCAGAGUAAGAACUGGCUGGAGAGGCUCGUGCCGGUCCUGAGCUCGAAGCGGGAAGAGGCUCGCAAUCUGGCAGCUUUCCACUUCUGCAUGGAAGCGGGUAUCAAGAAGCAACAAGGCAACACCGAUAUCUUCCGGACGAUCGGCGCGAUCGAGCCGUUGAAGAAAGUGGCCAGUUGCCCGAACGCGAUCGCGUCCAAGUACGCGGCGCAGGCCUUAAGAUUGAUCGGCGAGGAAAUCCCGCAUAAACUCAGCCAACAAGUGCCCUUAUGGUCCACCGAGGACGUUCGAGAAUGGGUGAAGCAGAUCGGUUUCGCCGAGGUAGCACCGAACUUCGUGGAAAGCCGUGUGGAUGGCGAUCUGCUGCUGCAGCUGACGGAGGAGAAUCUGCGCGAGGAUAUCGGCCUGACCAACGGUAUCAUGCGCCGCAGGUUCGCCCGCGAGCUGCAGAAUCUGAAGAAGAUGGCCGAUUACAGCAGCCGCGACACCGGUAACCUGAACAGCUUCCUGCAGUCGAUCGGCCAGGAGUUCUCCAUCUACACGUACAGCAUGCUGAAUGCCGGCGUGGACAAGGACUCGAUACGCAAUCUGUCGGAGGACCAGCUGCUGAGCGAGUGCGGCAUCACCAACAGUAUCCAUCGGCUCAGGAUACUCGACGCCAUCAAGAACAUGCAGCACAAUCAGUUCAGCUCGUGCGAGUACGAGUCGCCCGACAAGUCCCUCGACGUCUUCGUCAGUUACCGCAGAUCGAACGGCUCGCAAUUGGCGAGUUUGCUUAAGGUGCAUCUGCAGCUGCGCGGCUUCUCGGUGUUCAUCGAUGUCGAGAGGCUCGAGGCCGGCAAGUUCGACAACAACCUGUUGCAGAGCAUCAGGCAGGCCAAACACUUCCUCCUCGUGCUCACGCCCCAGGCUCUGGAGAGGUGUAUACAGGACAGCGAGUGCAAGGAUUGGGUGCACAGGGAGAUCGUUGCCGCAUUGCAAUCGCAAUGCAACAUAAUUCCAAUCAUCGACAACUUUCAAUGGCCGGAACCUGAGGAACUUCCUGAGGACAUGCGAGCGGUCUGCCACUUCAACGGUGUCCGCUGGAUUCACGACUAUCAAGACGCUUGCGUAGACAAGUUAGAAAGGUUUAUGCGAGGCGAGAUACCUAUGAGAGCUGAUCUGUCUGGCGGAAUUCCGCGCAGCAUGGCUCCCAAGGACGUGACCCAGCCGAGCACACCGGCUAACACCAACAUGCGGCAGCCGCCCAACUAUCAGCGAAUGCACAGCAACGAAAGCAGGGGCAGCGACAAGGAUUCUACGGGCGGGCGAGACUGACUAGACGGCCCGCCCACAGCCAUAUCGAGCAGCCAAGAUUGCGAAUCGCUCUAUGACAAUCAUGACUAGACUUAGAAAGUCGUCGAGUCCAUCCCGUUGGUUGAUGGGCCUGCCGCCCACGUCGCCGCGCUUCAAGUUCA